Molecule: ribosomal RNA, 468 nt
Filed under: uncultured bacterium
Lineage: Bacteria
Description: partial 16S ribosomal RNA
Rfam family: Bacterial small subunit ribosomal RNA
Source: RNAcentral
GACGAACGCUGGCGGCAUGCCUAACACAUGCAAGUCGAACGGUGACUUCGGAGUUUGCUGUGCUGGAUUAGUGGCGAACGGGUGAGUAACAUGUGAGCUAUCUGCCCCUGACUCUGGGAUAAGCGCUGGACACGGCGUCUAAUACUGGAUACGAGUUGUGAAGGCAUCUUCAGCAGCCGGCAAGAAUUUCGGUUAGGGAUGAGACCGCGGCCUAUCAGCUUGUUGGUGAGGUAAUGUGUCACCAAGGCGUCGACAGGUAGCCGGCCUGGGAGGGUGACCGGCCACGCUGGGACGGGGACGCGGCCCGGACUCCAACGCGAGGCAACGCAGCAGUAUGUUGCACUGUGGACGAGAGCCUGGUGCAGCGAAGCCGCGUGGGGUGCAUCAGCCUGCUGUUUGGAAACCACUUUUAUCAGGGAAGAGGCGAAAAUGACGGUACCUGCAGAAGAAGCGCCGGCUAACUACGUG